Equus caballus (horse) is the source of this 2151-nucleotide long non-coding RNA. NCBI's taxonomy places the organism in Eukaryota, Metazoa, Chordata, Mammalia, Perissodactyla, Equidae. The record is from Ensembl.
GGAAAAGUGAGAAAGGGAGGGGAGGAGGGAACUCCAGUGGAAAACCUCCUCAUUAGGGAAACAUCUAGCACCAUAGAAAUUAGAACACCUGCUUCAUUCACUUAACACCCUUCCUGGGCGCCACACGUUGAAAUAUCCUUUCUUCUGAUUUUAAAAGUUAUAACAAAGUAGGUUGCAUACUGGGCCCUCCAGCAAAAUUUCAGAAAGCUGUCCGUUGGCCCACGGGAAUUGCGUGGCAUAUGGCCUCCUCCAGGGCGCUGGUAAGAGUGUUGUAGGUCGGAGCCUUGGGGGUGGCUCUGAACUUUCUACAGAGGCUUCAGUGUAGUACUCUGGAGUGAUUGUUGAAGAAGGACAAACCCACUGGGGCCUUUCGUACAGUAAGGCUUACCUGUCCCUGAGCCAACCUCCUAUCCAGUGAGCAUCUGUGGUUUGAAGUCAGUCUGAGAGGACACAGAGUUAGCUUACCAUCUAUUUCUUUUAGAGGGACAUGAGUUUUACACAAGAGAGUCCCUGGAUAUGUCAAAGACAGAAGAUUAGUACAAUGCGUCAUUGCUGAGAGGGUCACUCAUCAGUAGUGCCGCACUUCGGCUGCACACCCCAGCAGCUAAAAGAAAGCCAAUUACCCCCAGGAGCCCACCUGCUAUAGAGCUGCUGGGUGUGAAGAAUGCACCUACCAGUUGCCAGAACUGGAUUGCAAAUAUCCUGGCGCUAGAGAUCUCUUGGAUCACUCCAUAACUUCCUUCAAGUCGUUAAUGUUGAACAAUGCGUGUUAUCUCAGGGCUCCAGCAGGAGCACACUCUCUCUCUCUCUCUCACACACACACACACACACAUUUUGAUUUCUAGCCCAGUCUCAGCUCUCCAGCCACUCUUGCUGAGGACUAACCUUGAUAAAAUGGCCUUUUAAAUUUUUUUAUUGUAGAAGACAAAUUUUCUGUCUACUGUAUAGAAAUAGACAAAAGGCUACUUUUGAAGAAUGAUGAAUGUCACCAUGAUCAUUUCCCAAAGGUAUAUUGAUAUAUUUUUCAAAACCCAAAUAGGGAUCUAUGGCCUGUGGAGUGGAAUUUGCUGCAGUUUUGGCUUCCAGGACCUUCUGGGCACUUUAGACCAAGGUUGGGGAAUUUCCCACCUUAGAAGUCCCAACUACCCAAGGUAGAAGCCAGGAAACUCCCUUGGGCCUGCCUUCCUACCAUUCUCACAGGAUGCUGGCAUCUGAUCAGUGGAGCUGACAAGAGACACACCCACGUGGGAUUCUAAUUUGGGAGUGAGGGACACAGGUGCACAGGGAGAGGGUGUGGCAGACUGAGGCUCUUGGAUUGGAGGGCAGUGGGGAGGGAGAUGCAGGACAGUGGGUUUUUCUGGAACAAUCCUGUAGUCUUGGGCAUGUGUUCCUGGCAGGGCAGCCCCUAAAUUCAACUCUCUGGGCCUAAAGUGGUCCUGCCUGCAUUUGGGUGGGCCUUCCAGCCAAUGGCUUAGUUCACAGUCGUUCCAUCACAUUUGGGGAAAACAGUUCCUUUAAUUGGUGGAGUUUUUUUUCAUUCACUUGUCCAUGUGUAAAGAUUUCUGCAUACAAUACCCAACAUUUAAUCAAGAAACACUAAUAUAACACCCAGCAUAUUCAUGUAAUAGAAUUCUAUACAGCAGUGAAAAGGGAAAAACCUACUGUUAUACAUAACAACACGGACAACUUUCACAAACACAAAUUUCAACAAAAGCAGCCAGACACCAAAUCUACAUACUGUGAGUCCAUUUACAGAAGGUUGGACAACAGGCACCACCAAACUGUGGUGUUAUUCAUAGGCUAUUGAUGAACUCUGGAGAGACACAAGCCUGGCUUCCAGGAUGCUGACGGUGUGCUGCUUCUGGAUCCGGGUGGCGGAUGCACUGGCGUGUUACUUGGUAAAAACUCUUACGCUAAUGGUUUGUGCACUUUCUGUAUUUUACACUUCAAUAAAGUUUUUUCCCUUGAUUUAUGUCAUUUUUUUUUGUUCCAUAUCUCUUUUCAAUAUUCAAUCUGGCAUGCUGCUAAUACCAUUUUACAAAACUUUUUAUUAUGUAUUGCUAGUCCUCAAGAGUUAGUUUUUAAGUUUGAAGAAAAAAUAUCAAUACACAGGGGAAUUCUAAACAUGAGCUAUACCUAUGGCUUGCAUUU